Molecule: ribosomal RNA, 663 nt
Filed under: uncultured fungus
Lineage: Eukaryota; Fungi
Description: eukaryotic LSU rRNA
Rfam family: Eukaryotic large subunit ribosomal RNA
Source: RNAcentral
CCCGCUGAACUUAAGCAUAUCAAUAAGCGGAGGAAAAGAAACUAACAAGGAUUCCCCUAGUAACUGCGAGUGAAGAGGGAAAAGCUCAAAUUUAAAAUCUGGCAGCUUUGGCUGUCCGAGUUGUAAUCUGGAGAAGUGUUUUCAGUGCAGGACCGUGUACAAGUCUCUUGGAAUGGAGCAUCAUAGAGGGUGAGAAUCCCGUCUUUGACACGGACUACCUGUGCUUUGUGAUGCACUCUCAAAGAGUCGAGUUGUUUGGGAAUGCAGCUCAAAAUGGGUGGUAAAUUCCAUCUAAAGCUAAAUAUUGGCGAGAGACCGAUAGCGAACAAGUACCGUGAGGGAAAGAUGAAAAGCACUUUGGAAAGAGAGUUAAACAGUACGUGAAAUUGUUGAAAGGGAAACGCUUGGAGUCAGUCGCGUUUGUUAGAACUCAGCUUGGCUUCUGCUUAGUGUACUUUCUAAUGAACGGGCCAACAUCGAUUUCAGUCAGUGGAUAAGGGUAAGAGGAAUGUGGCACCUUUACGGUGUGUUAUAGUCUCUCGUCGCAUGCAAGGGUUGGGAUUGAGGAACUCAGCACGCGCCUUUGGGUGUCGGGGUUUUUGCCCACGAUACGUGCUUAGGAUGUUGGCGUAAUGGCUUUAAACGACCCGUCUUGAAACACGG